GCGGAAGUAGUUCAGUGGUAGAACAUCACCUUGCCAUGGUGGGGGUCGCGGGUUCGAAUCCCGUUUUCCGCU
This 72-nucleotide transfer RNA is filed under the name Lactobacillus crispatus. Its description in RNAcentral is "tRNA-Gly". It matches the Rfam family "tRNA". From Rfam's summary of the family: Transfer RNA (tRNA) molecules are approximately 80 nucleotides in length. RNAcentral also lists the same sequence under 2 other names. Lineage: Bacteria; Bacillati; Bacillota; Bacilli; Lactobacillales; Lactobacillaceae. The record is from RNAcentral.